UACGUAGGCAGCAAGCGUUGUUCGGAGUUACUGGGCGUAAAGAGUAUGUAGGCGGUUAUCUAAGUCUGGUGUGAAAUCUCCCGGCUCAACUGGGAGGCUGCAUUAGAUACUGGAUAGCUUGAGCGUGGGAGAGGAAAGCGGAAUUUCUGGUGUAGCGGUGAAAUGCGUAGAUAUCAGAAGGAACACCUGCGGUGAAGACAGCUUUCUGGACCACAGCUGACGCUGAGAUACGAAAGCGUGGGUAGCAAACAGG
Molecule: ribosomal RNA, 253 nt
Filed under: uncultured bacterium
Lineage: Bacteria
Description: partial 16S ribosomal RNA
Rfam family: Bacterial small subunit ribosomal RNA
Source: RNAcentral